CGCUAGCUACAGGCUUAACACAUGCAAGUCGAGGGGCAUCAGGAAGAAAGCUUGCUUUCUUUGCUGGCGACCGGCGCACGGGUGAGUAACACGUAUCCAACCUGCCCUUUACUCGGGGAUAGCCUUUCGAAAGAAAGAUUAAUACCCGAUAGUAUAAUGAUUCCGCAUGGUUUCAUUAUUAAAGGAUUCCGGUAAAGGAUGGGGAUGCGUUCCAUUAGGUUGUUGGUGAGGUAACGGCUCACCAAGCCUUCGAUGGAUAGGGGUUCUGAGAGGAAGGCCCCCCACAUUGGAACUGAGACACGGUCCAAACUCCUACGGGAGGCAGCAGUGAGGAAUAUUGGUCAAUGGGCGCUAGCCUGAACCAGCCAAGUAGCGUGAAGGAUGAAGGCUCUAUGGGUCGUAAACUUCUUUUAUAUAAGAAUAAAGUGCAGUAUGUAUACUGUUUUGUAUGUAUUAUAUGAAUAAGGAUCGGCUAACUCCGUGCCAGCAGCCGCGGUAAUACGGAGGAUCCGAGCGUUAUCCGGAUUUAUUGGGUUUAAAGGGAGCGUAGGUGGACUGGUAAGUCAGUUGUGAAAGUUUGCGGCUCAACCGUAAAAUUGCAGUUGAUACUGUCAGUCUUGAGUACAGUAGAGGUGGGCGGAAUUCGUGGUGUAGCGGUGAAAUGCUUAGAUAUCACGAAGAACUCCGAUUGCGAAGGCAGCUCACUGGACUGCAACUGACACUGAUGCUCGAAAGUGUGGGUAUCAAACAGGAUUAGAUACCCUGGUAGUCCACACAGUAAACGAUGAAUACUCGCUGUUUGCGAUAUACAGUAAGCGGCCAAGCGAAAGCAUUAAGUAUUCCACCUGGGGAGUACGCCGGCAACGGUGAAACUCAAAGGAAUUGACGGGGGCCCGCACAAGCGGAGGAACAUGUGGUUUAAUUCGAUGAUACGCGAGGAACCUUACCCGGGCUUAAAUUGCAGUGGAAUGAUGUGGAAACAUGUCAGUGAGCAAUCACCGCUGUGAAGGUGCUGCAUGGUUGUCGUCAGCUCGUGCCGUGAGGUGUCGGCUUAAGUGCCGUAACGAGCGCAACCCUUAUCUUUAGUUACUAACAGGUUAUGCUGAGGACUCUAGAGAGACUGCCGUCGUAAGAUGUGAGGAAGGUGGGGAUGACGUCAAAUCAGCACGGCCCUUACGUCCGGGGCUACACACGUGUUACAAUGGGGGGUACAGAAGGCAGCUAGCGGGUGACCGUAUGCUAAUCCCAAAAGCCUCUCUCAGUUCGGAUCGAAGUCUGCAACCCGACUUCGUGAAGCUGGAUUCGCUAGUAAUCGCGCAUCAGCCACGGCGCGGUGAAUACGUUCCCGGGCCUUGUACACACCGCCCGUCAAGCCAUGGGAGCCGGGGGUACCUGAAGUACGUAACCGCAAGGAUCGUCCUAGGGUAAUACUGGUGACUGGGGCUAA
Molecule: ribosomal RNA, 1447 nt
Filed under: uncultured organism
Description: SSU rRNA
Rfam family: Bacterial small subunit ribosomal RNA
Source: RNAcentral